UGAAUACGAGACGCUAAGGCGUCGAAGUAGUGUAUGUCAUACUUCCAAGAAAAGCUUGCACUGUCAUAGAUAAAAAACGCCUGUACCAUAACCGACACAGGUGGGUAGGUAGAGUAUACUAAGGGGCGCGAGAUAACUCACUCUAAGGAACUCGGCAAAAUAACUCCGUAACUUCGGGAGAAGGAGUGCCUUAUUCUUAAGGUUGCAAUAACAAGAUCCAAGCAACUGUUUAUCAAAAACACAGGUCUCCGCUAAGUCGUAAGACGAUGUAUGGGGGCUGACGCCUGCCCAGUGCCAGAAGGUUAAAGAAGCUGGUUAGCAUUUGCGAAGCUAGUAACUGAAGCCCUGGUGAACGGCGGCCGUAACAAUAACGGUCCUAAGGUAGCGAAAUUCCUUGUCGGGUAAGCUCCGACCCGCACGAAAGGCGUAAUGAUUUGGAUACUGUCUCGGAGAGGGGCUCGGUGAAAUAGACUUGUCUGUGAAGAUGCGGACUACCUGCACCAGGACAGAAAGACCCUAUGAAGCUUUACUGUAACUUGAAAUUGAAAUUGGACUUUAUUCGCGCAGUAUAGGUGGGAGGCGUUGAUUAUAAUCUUGCGGGAUUAUUGGAGCCAUUAGUGAGAUACCACUCUUGUAAUGUUAGAUUUCUAACUUUGAAUCAUUAUCUGGUCAAAGAACAGUUUCAGGCGGGCAGUUUGACUGGGGCGGUCGCCUCCUAAACGGUAACGGAGGCGUACAAAGGUUUCCUCUGAACGGUUAGAAAUCGUAUCUAGAGUGUAAAGGCAUAAGGAAGCUUGACUGUGAGACCUACAAGUCGAGCAGGGACGAAAGUCGGUCUUAGUGAUCUGACGGUACUGAGUGGAAAGGCCGUCACUCAACGGAUAAAAGUUACUCUAAGGAUAACAGGCUGAUCUCCCCCAAGAGUUCACAUCGACGGGGAGGUUUGGCACCUCGAUGUCGGCUCAUCGCAUCCUGGGGCGGUAGUACGUCCCAAGGGUUGGGCUGUUCGCCCAUGAAAGCGGUACGCGAGCUGGGUUCAGAACGUCGUGAGACAGUUCGGUCCAUAUCCGGUGUAGGCGUUAGAAUAUUGAGAGGAGCCUUCUUUAGUACGAGAGGACCGAGAAGGACAUACCUCUGGUGUACCAGUUAUCGUGCCAACGGUAAACGCUGGGUAGCUAUGUAUGGAGUGGAUAACCGCUGAAAGCAUCUAAGUGGGAAGCCCACCUCAAGAUAAGUAUUCUCACC
This 1245-nucleotide ribosomal RNA is filed under the name metagenome. RNAcentral's name for it is "bacterial LSU rRNA". It matches the Rfam family "Bacterial large subunit ribosomal RNA", at positions 1564 to 2818 of the family's 2925-position model. The record is from RNAcentral.